GAUGAACGCUGGCGGCGUGCCUAAUACAUGCAAGUCGAGCGAACAGAUGAGGAGCUUGCUCCUCUGACGUUAGCGGCGGACGGGUGAGUAACACGUGGAUAACCUACCUAUAAGACUGGGAUAACUUCGGGAAACCGGAGCUAAUACCGGAUAAUAUAUUGAACCGCAUGGUUCAAUAGUGAAAGACGGUUUUGCUGUCACUUAUAGAUGGAUCCGCGCCGCAUUAGCUAGUUGGUAAGGUAAAGGCUUACCAAGGCAACGAUGCGUAGCCGACCUGAGAGGGUGAUCGGCCACACUGGAACUGAGACACGGUCCAGACUCCUACGGUAGGCAGCAGUAGGGAAUCUUCCGCGAUGGGCGAAAGCCGGACGGAGCAACGCCGCGUGAGUGAUGAAGGUCUUCGGAUCGUAAAACUCUGUAAUUAGGGAAGAACAAAUGUGUAAGUAACUAUGCACGUCUUGACGGUACCUAAUCAGAAAGCCACGGCUAACUACGUG
RNAcentral lists this ribosomal RNA (497 nucleotides) under uncultured bacterium. Its description in RNAcentral is "partial 16S ribosomal RNA". It matches the Rfam family "Bacterial small subunit ribosomal RNA", at positions 28 to 507 of the family's 1533-position model. The record is from RNAcentral.